RNAcentral lists this ribosomal RNA (510 nucleotides) under Orbilia sp. Its description in RNAcentral is "SSU rRNA". It matches the Rfam family "Eukaryotic small subunit ribosomal RNA", at positions 39 to 554 of the family's 1831-position model. Lineage: Eukaryota; Fungi; Ascomycota; Orbiliomycetes; Orbiliales; Orbiliaceae. The record is from RNAcentral.
AAAGAUUAAGCCAUGCAUGUCUAAGUAUAAGCAACUAUACAGUGAAACUGCGAAUGGCUCAUUAAAUCAGUUAUCGUUUAUUUGAUAGUACCUUACUACUUGGAUAACCGUGGUAAUUCUAGAGCUAAUACAUGCUAAAAAUCCCGACCUCCGGAAGGGAUGUAUUUAUUAGAUAAAAAACCAAUGCCCUCGGGCUCCUUGGUGAUUCAUGAUAACUUAACGAAUCGCAUGGCCUUGCGCCGGCGAUGGUUCAUUCAAAUUUCUGCCCUAUCAACUUUCGAUGGUAGGAUAGUGGCCUACCAUGGUUUCUACGGGUAACGGGGAAUUAGGGUUCGAUUCCGGAGAGGGAGCCUGAGAAACGGCUACCACAUCCAAGGAAGGCAGCAGGCGCGCAAAUUACCCAAUCCCGAUUCGGGGAGGUAGUGACAAUAAAUACUGAUACAGGGCUCUUUUGGGUCUUGUAAUUGGAAUGAGUACAAUUUAAAUCCCUUAACGAGGAACAAUUGGAGG